This 791-nucleotide ribosomal RNA is filed under the name uncultured Bacillota bacterium. RNAcentral describes it as "bacterial SSU rRNA". It matches the Rfam family "Bacterial small subunit ribosomal RNA", at positions 570 to 1364 of the family's 1533-position model. The record is from RNAcentral. Lineage: Bacteria; Bacillati; Bacillota.
UGUAGGCGGAGAUACAAGUCAGGAGUGAAAUCCCGGGGCUCAACCCCGGAACUGCUUUUGAAACUGUAUCCCUUGAGUAUCGGAGAGGCAAGCGGAAUUCCUAGUGUAGCGGUGAAAUGCGUAGAUAUUAGGAGGAACACCAGUGGCGAAAGCGGCUUGCUGGACGACAACUGACGCUGAGGCGCGAAAGCGUGGGGAGCAAACAGGAUUAGAUACCCUGGUAGUCCACGCUGUAAACGAUGAAUACUAGGUGUGGGAGGACUGACCCCUUCCGUGCCGCAGUUAACACAAUAAGUAUUCCACCUGGGGAGUACGACCGCAAGGUUGAAACUCAAAGGAAUUGACGGGGGCCCGCACAAGCAGUGGAUUAUGUGGUUUAAUUCGACGCAACGCGAAGAACCUUACCAGGGUUUGACAUCCAACUAACGAAGUAGAGAUACAUUAGGUGCCCUUCGGGGAAAGUUGAGACAGGUGGUGCAUGGUUGUCGUCAGCUCGUGUCGUGAGAUGUUGGGUUAAGUCCCGCAACGAGCGCAACCCCUAUUGUUAGUUGCUACGCAAGAGCACUCUAGCGAGACUGCCGUUGACAAAACGGAGGAAGGCGGGGACGACGUCAAAUCAUCAUGCCCCUUAUAUCCUGGGCUACACACGUAAUACAAUGGUGGUUAACAGAGGGAGGCAAUACUGCGAAGUGGAGCAAAUCCCUAAAAGCCAUCUCAGUUCGGAUUGCAGGCUGCAACUCGCCUGCAUGAAGCUGGAAUUGCUAGUAAUCGCGGAUCAGCAUGCCGCGGUG